ACGGAAGGCAGCAGUGGGGAAUAUUGGGCAAUGGGCGAAAGCCUGACCCAGCAAUGCCGCGUGAAGGAAGAAGGUCUUCGGAUUGUAAACUUCUUUUAUGAGGGACGAAGGAAUUGACGGUACCUCAUGAGUAAGCCACGGCUAACUACGUGCCAGCAGCCGCGGUAAUACGUAGGUGGCAAGCGUUAUCCGGAUUUACUGGGUGUAAAGGGCGCGUAGGCGGGGAAGCAAGUCGGAUGUGAAAUCUAUGGGCUUAACUCAUAAACUGCAUUUGAAACUGUUUCUCUUGAGUGCUGGAGAGGGAGAUGGAAUUCCUAGUGUAGCGGUGAAAUGCGUAGAUAUUAGGAAGAACACCAGUGGCGAAGGCGAUCUACUGGACAGUAACUGACGCUGAGGCGCGAAAGCGUGGGGAGCAAACAGGAUUAGAUACCCUGGUA
RNAcentral lists this ribosomal RNA (437 nucleotides) under uncultured Oscillospiraceae bacterium. Its description in RNAcentral is "partial 16S ribosomal RNA". It matches the Rfam family "Bacterial small subunit ribosomal RNA", at positions 341 to 792 of the family's 1533-position model. Lineage: Bacteria; Bacillati; Bacillota; Clostridia; Eubacteriales; Oscillospiraceae. The record is from RNAcentral.